RNAcentral lists this ribosomal RNA (522 nucleotides) under uncultured bacterium. RNAcentral describes it as "bacterial SSU rRNA". It matches the Rfam family "Bacterial small subunit ribosomal RNA", at positions 777 to 1297 of the family's 1533-position model. The record is from RNAcentral.
AAUAGAUACCCGGGUAGUCCACGCCGUAAACGAUGAGUGCUAAGUGUUAGAGGGUUUCCGCCCUUUAGUGCUGCAGCUAACGCAUUAAGCACUCCGCCUGGGGAGUACGGCCGCAAGGCUGAAACUCAAAGGAAUUGACGGGGGCCCGCACAAGCGGUGGAGCAUGUGGUUUAAUUCGAAGCAACGCGAAGAACCUUACCAGGUCUUGACAUCCUCUGACAACCCUAGAGAUAGGGCUUUCCCCUUCGGGGGACAGAGUGACAGGUGGUGCAUGGUUGUCCUCAGCUCGUGUCGUGAGAUGUUGGGUUAAGUCCCGCAACGAGCGCAACCCUUGAUCUUAGUUGCCAGCAUUCAGUUGGGCACUCUAAGGUGACUGCCGGUGACAAACCGGAGGAAGGUGGGGAUGACGUCAAAUCAUCAUGCCCCUUAUGACCUGGGCUACACACGUGCUACAAUGGAUGGUACAAAGGGCUGCAAGACCGCGAGGUCAAGCCAAUCCCAUAAAACCAUUCUCAGUUCGGA